RNAcentral lists this ribosomal RNA (253 nucleotides) under uncultured bacterium. RNAcentral describes it as "partial 16S ribosomal RNA". It matches the Rfam family "Bacterial small subunit ribosomal RNA", at positions 524 to 776 of the family's 1533-position model. The record is from RNAcentral.
UACGUAGGGGGCAAGCGUUGUCCGGAAUUAUUGGGCGUAAAGCGCGCGCAGGCGGUCCUUUAAGUCUGAUGUGAAAGCCCACGGCUCAACCGUGGAGGGUCAUUGGAAACUGGGGGACUUGAGUACAGAAGAGAAGAGUGGAAUUCCACGUGUAGCGGUGAAAUGCGUAGAGAUGUGGAGGAACACCAGUGGCGAAGGCGACUCUUUGGUCUGUAACUGACGCUGAGGCGCGAAAGCGUGGGGAGCAAACAGG